AGAGUUUGAUCAUGGCUCAGAACGAACGUUGGCGGCAUGGAUGAGGCAUGCAAGUCGCGGGAAUCCCAGCAAUGGGGGAACCGGCGUAAGGGGCAGUAAGGCGUGGGUACCCACCCCCGGGUCCGGGAUAGCCCGCCGAGAGGCGGGGUAAUACCGGAUGACCUCGGGAGAGCAAAGCUCCGGCGCCCGGGGCGGGGCCCACGUGAUAUUAGCUAGUUGGCGGGGUGACGGCCCACCAAGGCGGAGAUGUCUAGCGGGUGUGAGAGCACGACCCGCGCCACUCGCACUGAGACACUGGCGAGACACCUACGGGUGGCUGCAGUCGAGGAUCUUCGGCAAUGGGGGCAACCCCGACCGAGCGAUGCCGCGUGGGCGACGAAGGCCUUCGGGUUGUAAAGCCCUGUCGAGGGGGAGAAAGCCGCAAGGCGGAUCCAUCCCUGGAGGAAGCUCGGGCUAAGUUCGUGCCAGCAGCCGCGGUAAGAUGAACCGAGCGAACGUUGUUCGGAAUCACUGGGCUUAAAGGGCGCGUAGGCGGGCUGCCGCGUCCGGGGUGAAAUCCUCCGGCUCAACCGGAGAACGGCCCCGGGUACGGGCGGCCUCGAGGGGGGUAGGGGCGGGCGGAACUGUGGGUGGAGCGGUGAAAUGCGUUGAGAUCCACAGGAACUCCGGUGGCGAAGGCGGCCCGCUGGACCCCAUCUGACGCUGAGGAGCGAAAGCGUGGGUAGCGAACAGGAUUAGAUACCCCGGUAGUCCAA
RNAcentral lists this ribosomal RNA (755 nucleotides) under uncultured bacterium. RNAcentral's name for it is "bacterial SSU rRNA". It matches the Rfam family "Bacterial small subunit ribosomal RNA", at positions 8 to 798 of the family's 1533-position model. The record is from RNAcentral.